RNAcentral lists this ribosomal RNA (383 nucleotides) under Drosophila inciliata. RNAcentral's name for it is "partial 16S ribosomal RNA". The stretch from base 259 to 383 matches the Rfam family "Bacterial large subunit ribosomal RNA", at positions 2473 to 2597 of the family's 2925-position model. The record is from RNAcentral. Lineage: Eukaryota; Metazoa; Arthropoda; Insecta; Diptera; Drosophilidae.
GAAAUAUUAACUGUUUCAUUUAAAUUUUUUGUAGAAUUUUAUUUUUUAGUCAAAAAGCUAAAAUAAAUUUAAAAGACGAGAAGACCCUAUAAAUCUUUAUAUUUUAUUUAUUUUAAUUAUAAAGAUUAUUUUUGUUAUAAUAAAUAAAAAUAUUUUAUUGGGGUGAUAUUAAAAUUUAAAAAACUUUUAAUUUUUAAAUCCAUUAAUUUAUGAUUAAUUGAUCCAUUUAUAAUGAUUAAAAAUUUAAGUUACUUUAGGGAUAACAGCGUAAUUUUUUUGGAGAGUUCAUAUCGAUAAAAAAGAUUGCGACCUCGAUGUUGGAUUAAGAUAUAAUUUUGGGUGUAGCCGUUCAAAUUUUAAGUCUGUUCGACUUUUAAAUUCUU